RNAcentral lists this transfer RNA (44 nucleotides) under Mammut americanum (American mastodon). RNAcentral describes it as "partial tRNA-Cys". The record is from RNAcentral. Lineage: Eukaryota; Metazoa; Chordata; Mammalia; Proboscidea; Mammutidae.
GGCCUUGAAGUGUGAACAUGUCGAAUUGCAAAUUCGAAGAAGCA